UACGUAGGUGGCGAGCGUUAUCCGGAAUGACUGGGCGUAAAGGGUGCGUAGGUGGUUUGACAAGUUAGUAGCGUAAUUCCGGGGCUCAACUUCGGAACUACUACUAAAACUGUUGGGCUUGAGUGCAGGAGAGGUGAAUGGAAUUCCUAGUGUAGCGGUGGAAUGCGUAGAUAUUAGGAGAAACACCAGCGGCGAAAGCGAUUCACUGGACUGUAACUGACACUGAGGCACGAAAGCGUGGGGAGCAAACA
This 251-nucleotide ribosomal RNA is filed under the name uncultured bacterium. RNAcentral describes it as "partial 16S ribosomal RNA". It matches the Rfam family "Bacterial small subunit ribosomal RNA", at positions 524 to 774 of the family's 1533-position model. The record is from RNAcentral.